This 376-nucleotide ribosomal RNA is filed under the name uncultured bacterium. Its description in RNAcentral is "bacterial SSU rRNA". It matches the Rfam family "Bacterial small subunit ribosomal RNA", at positions 524 to 898 of the family's 1533-position model. The record is from RNAcentral.
UACGUAGGGUGCGAGCGUUAAUCGGAAUUACUGGGCGUAAAGGGUGCGCAGGCGGUUUUGUAAGUCAGAUGUGAAAUCCCCGGGCUUAACCUGGGAAUUGCGUUUGAAACUAUAAGACUAGAGUGCAAGAGAGGGGAGUGGAAUUCCAUGUGUAGCAGUGAAAUGCGUAGAGAUGUGGAAGAACACCGAUGGCGAAGGCAGCUCCCUGGAUUGACACUGACGCUCAUGCACGAAAGCGUGGGGAGCAAACAGGAUUAGAUACCCUGGUAGUCCACGCCCUAAACUAUGUCAACUGGUUGUCAGAUCUAAUUAAGGAUUUGGUAACGUAGCUAACGCGUGAAGUUGACCGCCUGGGGAGUACGAUCGCAAGAUUAAA